This 1602-nucleotide long non-coding RNA is filed under the name Homo sapiens (human). Its description in RNAcentral is "HSALNT0247250". The record is from RNAcentral. Lineage: Eukaryota; Metazoa; Chordata; Mammalia; Primates; Hominidae.
UGUUGCCUUAGAAUUCACUGAGCUGAAAUGGAGUGAGAGCUAAGAUGCUCUCAGAAUAUUCUUAAAAUGACUGUGCUGCAAAGAAGCCCGGGUGAAUAGAAGAAAAUAGAAGGAAUGGUGGAUACAAGUGAAGGUUAAAAUGAGACCCCAUUUAUCGCACCAGCUGUUGGUGAUUUCAGCGCACCUUUCCAAGCCUCUUGAGAGUUCUGCUCUAACCACACUGCCCCCUAGUGUUCUCUCGCUUUGGUGCAACGUCCGUCUUGUACACUUCCUUCCACAGACCUGUAAUCAGCUAUUUCUUCAGGGAGCCUGUGAUUCCUUUUAGUGGAAAAUGGUUUCUCAUACUUCCGGAGAAAUAGAAAGCACCAGAUGACAGCCACCACACACUUUUGUCCCCAUUGCAAUAGGAUGCUUCUAACAAUCGUAAAAUUAUGAAACACUGAAUUCCUUAAAAGUUGUCCAUUUGUGGAUUUAUCUGAUGGUAACUAUUAAAUAUUUAAAAGUAACUUUAAUGAAUCUACUUAUGAUGAUUGAGUAAUCUAUUCUCUGAAUUCCACCAAAAAACCAUUUUAUGACCACAGUCAUAACGAACAUAUUUCUAUAGUCCUAAGCUGGCAAGAUAAAUAGAGAACAGUUCAUAAUAUAAACAAUAUAUUUAUUUAUUCCUAAACUAAUAAGAUGACUAUCAAUCUGUAAGAGACUAUGAAAAUCAAUACCGUAUACUUGGUAUAGUUGGUGAGAAUUUCAGGAGCAUGUUUGUUCUUUUAUUUGUGUUUUGGAAGAUACUUAGCCCACUUUUUUUUUUUUUUUUUUGAGAUGGAGUCUCACUCUUGUCGCCCAGGCUGGAGUGGAGUGGCAUGAUCUCGACUCACUGCAACCUCCACCUCCCAGGUUCAAGUGAUACUCCUGCCUCAGCCUCCCGAGUAGCUGGGACUACAGGUGCGCACCACCACACCCAGCUAAUUUCUGUAUUUUUAGUAGAGACGGGGUUUCACCAUGUUGGCCAGAUGGUCUCGAUCUCUUGACCUUGUGAUCUGCCCGCCUCGGCCUACUUAGCCAACUUUUAAGGACAAGUCCAGCCAUCCUUAUCCUUCACAGCAAAUAACAAACAUAGUGAUUUGUGGGGGUGAAGAGAUGUUGGUCAAGGGGUAUGAAAGUACAGUCAGAUAAAAGGAAUGUGUCCUAGAUUUGAUAGAAUACUAGGGAAAUUACAGUUAACAAAAAUUUAUUGUACACUUCAAAGUAGCUAGAAGCAAAGAACUGUAAUGUCCCCAACACAAAGAAAAGAUAAAUGUUUGGGGUGAUAAUAUCUCAAUUACUCUGAUUUGAUCAUUACACAUUGUAUGCAGGUAUCAAAAUAUCACAUAUCCCCCCAAAAUAUGUACAACUGUUGUAUAUUAAUAAAAAUAAAUACAAACAAAAAGACCCAAAUAGUUAUUAAUUAUAGUGUAAAUAUUAGACUAGAGCCAUUCUGGACAAGCACCUGUUCAACACCAUAUCCUCAUUUUCUGGCACCCAGUAGACACUGCGGAAGUAUUUUUGAUUGGUCCUGCAGAGGUUCUACCCCAACCUCACCAGGUGCAGGUGGAUGCCAGGUGCCAG